UUAAACGUGUUUCUAUGCCCUGUUUUAUAAUUAUCUGUUUUUAUUUUAUUUUUAUGUACAGUGUCCUUGAGUGACCUGAAAGGCGCUUAUAAAUAAAAUGUAUUAUUAUUAUUAUUAUCAUUAUCCCCGAUCACACCAUUCGUGCCCUGGGUCACAUCGCAGUGGCUCUGAGAGACACUCCUAAAGUCAUGGAGCACAUCCUUCAGAUCCUUCAACAGAAGUUCUGCCAGCCUCCCUCACAGCUGGACGUUCUCAUCAUCGACCAGCUGGGCUGCAUGGUCAUCACAGGAAAUGUACGUACACAAAGUUACAGUUGGUUGUUGCAUUGGUGUGGAGGAAUCGUUAGCCAUCACUGCCUUUUUUUUAUCAUUUAAGUAUUUAAAAGAUAAACUAUUAAAUCAGCUGGAGAGAAAUUACAUUUAAUUAGAUGUGAGCAGCCACAUUUUUGCUCCAUAAAUAGCAGCAAAGUAAACUGUUUCUGUUCCAUCCAGAGCAGCUGUAAUUAGUCUAAGCCUCCUGACUGCACCGCAUUUACUUGCUCAUUACACAUUCACACUUACAAUCAAUUUAAAGUGAGAAAAAUAUCAAUGCUGUGACAUCAUUGAUGACUCUAUUUUCUAUAGGCCUCAAGCAGUGCUAGAAAUCUGGGUGUCCUGAUCCCAGUCAUUGCUGUGUUGACCAGACUUCCGCCAACCAAAGAGGCUAAGCCUCGCCUCCAGAAGCUGUUCAGGGACUUCUGGUUGUACUCUGUGGUCAUGGGCUUUGCAGAAGAAGGAUCAGGCGGAGCUGAGUGAGCUGAGGGUGACAAUCAGCAAUCUCCUGAACCCUCCUCCUGAAGGAUCUGCCCUCAUUAACAAGCUGGACUUCGCCAUGUCCACCUAUCUGCUGUCAGUCUACAGAUUAGAAUACAUGAGGCAGGAUGCAGUGCAUUAUUUGUGUUGGUGAUAAAGUUGUUGAUGUUUUCCUCUAAAUGAUGGCUGAAAAGCCAAAGAGCACGAGGAAGAACUGGAGCGGCAUGCCCAGUUUCUGUUGAUCAACUUUAAUCAUAUGCAUAAGAGGAUCAGAAGAGUGGCAGACAAAUACCUCUCUGGUUCGGCUGAGACUUCCCACAUCUGCGGUGGAGUGGCUGUGUCCUGAAGACAAUGUUGAAUAUUUUACAGACACUGCUGAUAUUCACAAAGAUCAGCCGUACUAUGAUAUUCCAGACACUCCCUACAGAAUCACCGUUCCUGACACUUACGAAGCCCGAGAGAGUAUAGUCAAAGAUUUUGCUGCUCGUUGUGGUGAGAUCCUGAAAGAGGCAAUGAAAUGCUCCUUCAGUCACAAAGUCCCACCUACAGGAAUACCUAAACAAACACCAUAAACUGGGUGUCAGGACUGCCCCAGCACACUGGCCUGGCUAUGGCUUGUGGAUGAAAUGUAUUCAUGUGUUUGUAUUUUAUAGAAGUAUGCAACAUAUAUAUUCAUGUUUUAAAAAGAUCAUAAGAGAUGUGCUAAAACAUAUAACCAGCUUGAACAUA
Cynoglossus semilaevis (tongue sole) is the source of this 1520-nucleotide long non-coding RNA. RefSeq lists it as uncharacterized. The record is from RefSeq and is a predicted model, not a curated record. The transcript has 9 exons. Lineage: Eukaryota; Metazoa; Chordata; Actinopteri; Pleuronectiformes; Cynoglossidae.